This 980-nucleotide long non-coding RNA is filed under the name Erythranthe guttata (spotted monkey flower). RNAcentral describes it as "long non-coding RNA (EGUT_LNC003659)". Lineage: Eukaryota; Viridiplantae; Streptophyta; Magnoliopsida; Lamiales; Phrymaceae. The record is from RNAcentral.
AACAAACCCUUUCGAAAUACAAAUCAAGGAGAAUUGGCGCGCUUUCCAUUACAGCAAAAAAUCGGCAAACAAAUCCACAAUUCCUUUCAGAGAAUGCUUCUGCCAAAGCGGAUAAUUCCCUGGUCGUCGAUUCCACCAUUUGUUCGGCGGCGACGGCGGCGGGCGGUGGAACUAGGGUUAAUCGAUUGUCAUAUAAUCCGCUGCGGAGACCAUACUUUCAUCCACGAUUAGCUUAUCCGGUGGUAAGAAUCGAAGUUAGUUUGUGUGUUUAUUGUCUUAUUGAAGUUUGAUUUGCUUAGAAAAAAGUAAAUUUGGGAUAAUUAUGUUGAACCUGUAAUCUGUAAGCAAAUCAUGAAUAUUCAACGGAUAAUUUGUUCUUUCUCGUUCGCCAUCAACCAGUUGACUUUUGACAGUGUGUAAACAAAAGCUUGAUCAAGUCUGUUGCUUCAUUGGUUGAAUUAUUAUGACCCUACUAUGUUUAAUUAGGUUUAAAUAAUCAAGUCAAUUUUUAAUAAUCAAGUCAAUCCCCUCCCUACAUUACUUUCUCCCAUUCAAGGCUCUCAUCAGUUUUUGUUAAACAUUUUAAAUCUUGUGAUAAUUAGCAGCUUGAAUUCUUGUCAAUUGUUUAUGUGAGAAUCUGAUGCAUGCCUAAUUGCUUCCAAAUCAGGUUACAUUUGAUUUUCUAUUUUGUUUAUGAUUCUUGAUUUUGAAUAAAGAAUGGGUUCUUAAAGUGAAUUAUGUCAUUUUUCGUGUGCAGUGCAGUAAUUGAUUGGGUCGAGGUAUAGGAAUAACAAUUUUUGUGUAAGAUUGAAUCUCUUUACUUCAUCAAUAAAGAAAGAAAAAGGAUUUCGGUUAUUCUCUACUAAGUGAGAAUUGUAGUCCAUUAUGUCGUCUGAUCUUUGUGGAUCACGCUUUCUUUUGGCUUUGCCUCAUGAAAUAUUUUCUGUAAUAACGAGUUCCCUCUCUCCGAGGGAUGUGUG